AUGUAUAUACGUUAAUAAUUAAAAAUAUGGUAAAUGUAUGCACAUAAACAUAUGUAUAUAUAUGUAUAUGUAUAUAUACAUAGAACAAUGAAAAUUUUUUUUUUUUUUUUUUAUUCUAUCACUGCUUAAGUUUAAGUGCUGUAAAUUGUAAUAAAGAAACGCAUGUAGAGCUUAAUGAGUAUGAACUAAAAAACCAAUUUAGUGUUCGCAUAUUAAAACAAUCUUCUGAAAAUUGUGGUUUAGAAUUUGAAGAUGAAGCAGAAAUUGACAUCAGGGCAUUUUGUAAGAGCUUCUACAUAUAAUAUUUAAAUACAUAUUAAAUAAUUUGUUUAUUAAAAACAAUUUUAUUACUGUGUAAUACUUAUUUAUAUAAAAAAUAAAAAUAAAAUAAUAAUAAUUUUUAAUUUAUCAAUUUUUUAUAUUUAUUUUACAUGGUAACAAUUAUUUAUUGCAGCUCCAGGAGUGAAACUCAUGCCUAGUUUAUCAUCAGAUUUCGAAUUUGGAUAUGCUAAUCAGAAGUUUAUAGUCGGAAAAUACAACGUCCCUGAUUUAAAUAAAGGUUUACGAGGGAUGUGUACAGGCGAACUAAGGCGCAUAGGCAUAUCAAUUAACAAUUUAGGUAAAAUAUAUUAUGAAGUAAUAUUGAAAAAUUAUAAAAAGAAAAGCCCGAAAAGUGAAGAACUUUAAUUUUUUUUUUUAUAACUUUUUUUUUUGUACAUGUAAUAUAUAACGUUCAUAUAAUUUG
Molecule: long non-coding RNA, 745 nt
Filed under: Piliocolobus tephrosceles (Ugandan red Colobus)
Lineage: Eukaryota; Metazoa; Chordata; Mammalia; Primates; Cercopithecidae
Description: lncRNA (ENSPTEG00000005884.1)
Source: RNAcentral